UACGUAGGGGGCAAGCGUUGUCCGGAUUUACUGGGCGUAAAGCGCGCGUAGGCGGAACGUUAAGUCCGGUUUGAAAGCCCCCGGCUCAACCGGGGAGAGUGGCUGGAAACUGGCGUUCUGGAGGGCGAUAGAGGAGAGUGGAAUUCCUGGUGUAGCGGUGAAAUGCGUAGAUAUCAGGAGGAACACCAAUUGCGAAGGCAGCUCGCUGGGACGUAACUGACGCUGAGACGCGAAAGCGUGGGGAGCAAACAGG
This 253-nucleotide ribosomal RNA is filed under the name uncultured bacterium. RNAcentral describes it as "partial 16S ribosomal RNA". It matches the Rfam family "Bacterial small subunit ribosomal RNA", at positions 524 to 776 of the family's 1533-position model. The record is from RNAcentral.